UGGGGAAUUUUGGACAAUGGGCGAAAGCCUGAUCCAGCAAUGCCGCGUGUGUGAAGAAGGCCUUCGGGUUGUAAAGCACUUUUGUCCGGAAAGAAAUCCUUGGCUCUAAUACAGUCGGGGGAUGACGGUACCGGAAGAAUAAGCACCGGCUAACUACGUGCCAGCAGCCGCGGUAAUACGUAGGGUGCAAGCGUUAAUCGGAAUUACUGGGCGUAAAGCGUGCGCAGGCGGUUUGCUAAGACCGAUGUGAAAUCCCCGGGCUCAACCUGGGAACUGCAUUGGUGACUGGCAGGCUAGAGUAUGGCAGAGGGGGGUAGAAUUCCACGUGUAGCAGUGAAAUGCGUAGAGAUGUGGAGGAAUACCGAUGGCGAGGGCAGCCCCCUGGGCCAAUACUGACGCUCAUGCACGAAAGCGUGGGGAGCAAACAGGAUUAGAUACCCUGGUAGUCCACGCCCUAAACGAUGUCAACUAGUUGUUGGGGAUUCAUUUCCUUAGUAACGUAGCUAACGCGUGAAGUUGACCGCCUGGGGAGUACGGUCGCAAGAUU
RNAcentral lists this ribosomal RNA (547 nucleotides) under uncultured bacterium. RNAcentral describes it as "partial 16S ribosomal RNA". It matches the Rfam family "Bacterial small subunit ribosomal RNA", at positions 355 to 895 of the family's 1533-position model. The record is from RNAcentral.